GACUCGGUAGCAGACUGUCUGCAUCUCCUUGUCGUUGUGAGCCUCAGAUAGAAUCGAUAACUGGAGAAGCUGCUCGUUCGAUUCGGGCCCGGGUCC
Molecule: non-coding RNA, 96 nt
Organism: Mycena rosella
Lineage: Eukaryota; Fungi; Basidiomycota; Agaricomycetes; Agaricales; Mycenaceae
Source: the annotation of a GenBank genome assembly